GUUUAAUUGUCAUGUAUGUUAAUGGGUAUUUUGCUGUGUUAUUUUAAAUUAUAUUUGAAUAAGUUUGUCUUAGUAUUGAUACAGAUGAAAAUGGCAGCGUAAUAAUCUAUUAAAUAACUGAUUUAUUAUUGAAUACUAGUCCAAGAGCAGUAUGAGUUGUAGUCUUAAGAAAGAAAAAAAAAAGAGGGAGUCUGUUUUUGUAAAUUUUAGCUGAUUUCCAAAAUUCUGUUGCAAUAAUGGACUUCCUGCCAAAAUUUGACUUUCCUGUCCAGUUGCCAGGUGCUCCGAUCUAAUCUUAAAGUAGUACUGCUUGCAUAGUUUGCAGACAUGCAUAAUGCACAAACAUGAAAACCUAUAUUAUCUCUGUCACAGAGUGUGACAUUUAUUAAUUUAUUUUGGAUUAAUAUGCUUUUUGUAUUGGCAUGUCUGCUGGA
Pelobates cultripes (western spadefoot toad) is the source of this 434-nucleotide non-coding RNA. NCBI's taxonomy places the organism in Eukaryota, Metazoa, Chordata, Amphibia, Anura, Pelobatidae. The record is from the annotation of a GenBank genome assembly.